UACGUAGGGUGCGAGCGUUAAUCGGAAUUACUGGGCGUAAAGCGUGCGCAGGCGGCUUUGCAAGACAGAUGUGAAAUCCCCGGGCUCAACCUGGGAACUGCAUUUGUGACUGCAAGGCUAGAGUACGGCAGAGGGGGAUGGAAUUCCGCGUGUAGCAGUGAAAUGCGUAGAUAUGCGGAGGAACACCAAUGGCGAAGGCAAUCCCCUGGGCCUAUACUGACGCUCAUGCACGAAAGCGUGGGGAGCAAACAGG
RNAcentral lists this ribosomal RNA (253 nucleotides) under uncultured bacterium. Its description in RNAcentral is "partial 16S ribosomal RNA". It matches the Rfam family "Bacterial small subunit ribosomal RNA", at positions 524 to 776 of the family's 1533-position model. The record is from RNAcentral.